Molecule: ribosomal RNA, 519 nt
Filed under: Lactococcus cremoris
Lineage: Bacteria; Bacillati; Bacillota; Bacilli; Lactobacillales; Streptococcaceae
Description: bacterial SSU rRNA
Rfam family: Bacterial small subunit ribosomal RNA
Source: RNAcentral
UUGNCGNGAAUUUUUGCUUGCACCAAUUUGAAGAGCAGCGAACGGGUGAGUAACGCGUGGGGAAUCUGCCUUUGAGCGGGGGACAACAUUUGGAAACGAAUGCUAAUACCGCAUAACAACUUUAAACAUAAGUUUUAAGUUUGAAAGAUGCAAUUGCAUCACUCAAAGAUGAUCCCGCGUUGUAUUAGCUAGUUGGUGAGGUAAAGGCUCACCAAGGCGAUGAUACAUAGCCGACCUGAGAGGGUGAUCGGCCACAUUGGGACUGAGACACGGCCCAAACUCCUACGGGAGGCAGCAGUAGGGAAUCUUCGGCAAUGGACGAAAGUCUGACCGAGCAACGCCGCGUGAGUGAAGAAGGUUUUCGGAUCGUAAAACUCUGUUGGUAGAGAAAAACGUUGGUGAGAGUGGAAAGCUCAUCAAGUGACGGUAACUACCCAGAAAGGGACGGCUAACUACGUGCCAGCAGCCGCGGUAAUACGUAGGUCCCGAGCGUUGUCCGGAUUUAUUGGGCGUAAAGCC